GGGACAGGCCUUCUCACAGGCAGGACACAUCCUGGGCGGGGACACGCUUGCUCUUUGCACCCAUGUUCUUCACCUCAAGGACGUCCACAGAGGCAGUGACGCCAGGCCCAGCACACGAUGCGGGGAUACGCCACCAGCUGAUUUAAUUGUGCCUUUUUAAGUAAAUGCACAAAUGCACAGAUACUGCCAAUUUCAAUUCAAUCGCAUACGAAUCAUGCUUUCUAACACAGUUCACAGUUUGUCUCUCAAGCCUCCCAACAGACCAUCAAGGGAUUAAAGCUCACAAAACCCAGGAAAACAAGAGAGCUUCUACAAAGCACUGCGUAAACACCUGAAUAGUGGCUAUGAUUUCCAGGGCUCCAUCGGUUUCCAGGAGUGCACACCUGAACAAUGCAAAGUCAGAUCAGAACACGUUUAACAAGUAAUCCGGCAAACAUGAAAACCUGCACUGUAUAAGGGAAAAGUAGAAACACUUUUUUUUGUGCCAUAAGCUUCAGCAGUAUCUCAACUCAUCAGAUUUCAGUCCUUGUGUGAAAACAGGAUAAAUCUGUCGCUCCCUGUUAUAUUUUCUUUAAAAUUGCAAUGUGCAGAGCUCUCUUUCUUGGUUCUUAAAUUAUUAAGCAAUGCAAAUCCCUUCCACACAGGCUUGCAUACUCUGUACAAAUAUUUUUGUAUUGUAUGCCUGGACACGCAACAUCAACAUUUUGCUUUCACAAGUGGAGACGAAGCUGCUCAAAGGGUAAAAUGGCCUCGUCCAUCCACCCAGCAAAGUAGGAAAAUAAUGUGUGUGUACCUGGUUUCGUUUCCAUGCAUUAUUGUACAAUUAAUUUUUCUUUAUGUUUGUUUAAGCAAAACAAAACAAAACCAAACAAACAAAAAAACUCUCAAAUUUUGCUAGCUUUAAACCCCAAACACUGUUCUGACUACUGGUGAGUUAUUGUCACAAUAAAAAUUCCUUUCCCCGAAGUCUGCAGUCUGCCCUGCAGCCUAUGCUGCUGUGUGUUAGGUGGGAGGGGCUAGAGAGAGAGCUGAUAUGGGCUCCCCUGGAAGAGGGGCUGGGACACUCCCAGGUGACAAGCUCCCCAGGGGCGUCCAGUCUUAGUACUCCAUGGUUAGUACUCCCACUAACUUAGUACUCCAUGGUUAAAACUCCCACUAACUGCCAGCCACAUCUCAGCUUCAUGGCUGUGAGCUCCUCGUCUCUUGCCG
Molecule: long non-coding RNA, 1209 nt
Filed under: Pan troglodytes (chimpanzee)
Lineage: Eukaryota; Metazoa; Chordata; Mammalia; Primates; Hominidae
Description: long non-coding RNA NONPTRT017555
Source: RNAcentral